This 253-nucleotide ribosomal RNA is filed under the name uncultured bacterium. Its description in RNAcentral is "partial 16S ribosomal RNA". It matches the Rfam family "Bacterial small subunit ribosomal RNA", at positions 524 to 776 of the family's 1533-position model. The record is from RNAcentral.
UACGGAGGGGGCAAGCGUUAUUCGGAAUUAUUGGGCGUAAAGCGCGCGUAGGCGGCCGCUUAAGUCGGAUGUGAAAGCCCCUGGCUCAACUGGGGAAGUGCACCCGAAACUGAGUGGCUUGAGUACUAAAGAGGGUCGCGGAAUUCCCGGUGUAGAGGUGAAAUUCGUAGAUAUCGGGAGGAACACCGGUGGCGAAGGCGGCGACCUGGGUAGAUACUGACGCUGAGGCGCGAAAGCGUGGGGAGCAAACAGG